AAGACGCGAUAACCAGCCCACCACGGCACGUUGUGAGGUCACCCACAGGCUCGACUUUCGAUUGUGGGCCUUGACAAAGAGCAGCUGGAUGCGUGUUGCAAGAAUUCCUGACCUCUGUCUUGAAACACAGAAGAGGAUUGCGGAAGGACACGCGCUCAUACGUCAGGUCCGGGCGAUGACUGAGUUCUGGUAUGAUCCUCUGCGACGAGUCGCUUUCUGGCCUAGUUUCUGGUUUGCCCAGUGCUCCCGCAUGUGCCGCGGGAGCACACGUUGGCGGUCUGGACGUUGAGUCCUCUCAGCCGGGCACUAGAACGAGUGGUGUAAAGUCCAAGCCCAUCGGUCACGUCUCGAAACACGGGCCAAGGAGUAUAGCAUGUGUGCAAGUCUAAGAGUCUCCCAAAACUCGAAGGCGAAGUGAAAGCAAGUAUGCGGCGGGUGAUCUACGGAGAUCCCGUCAGCUAGAGGUGUCUCUGACACCUCCGGCUUUGGCAGAGUUGAUCCUGCAGCGGUACAGCACUCGUACGCUCAGGCGCAAACUCCAGGCUCACGUUUGUGUGGUUUUCGGACUGCACUGUGAGCACUGUGGAGCAUGCAUGCUAUGACCCGAAAGAUAGUGAACUAUGCCUGGCGAGGGCGAAGCCCCAGGAAACUGGGGUGGAGGCCCGUAGCCGUUGUGACGUGCAAAUCC
Molecule: ribosomal RNA, 688 nt
Filed under: Niphargogammarus aequimanus
Lineage: Eukaryota; Metazoa; Arthropoda; Malacostraca; Amphipoda; Pontogammaridae
Description: partial 28S ribosomal RNA
Rfam family: Eukaryotic large subunit ribosomal RNA
Source: RNAcentral